CAAAGCUUAAAACCCAAAGGACUUGACGGUACCCCACAUCCACCUAGAGGAGCCUGUCCUAUAAUCGAUAACCCCCGUUAAACCUCACCAUUUUUAGCCUAUCAGCCUGUAUACCUCCGUCGUCAGCUUACCACGUGAGCGACUUCCAGUGAGCUUAAUGCCCAUACGCCAACACGUCAGGUCAAGGUGCAGCAGAUAAAAUGGGAAGAGAUGGGCUACACUCUCUAUUCUAGAAAAUACAGAAGACUAUUUAUGAAACCUAGUCAGAAGGCGGAUUUAGUAGUAAAAAGAGAUAAGAGCACUCUUUUUAACAUGGCACUGGGGUGUGUACACACCGCCCGUCACCCUCUUCAAAGCUAACAUGAAGUCUCUAACACACUUAAGCAUUACAGAAGAGGCAAGUCGUAACAUGGUAAGUAUACCGGAAGGUGUGCUUGGAAA
Molecule: ribosomal RNA, 441 nt
Filed under: Osteocephalus taurinus (Manaus slender-legged treefrog)
Lineage: Eukaryota; Metazoa; Chordata; Amphibia; Anura; Hylidae
Description: partial 12S ribosomal RNA
Rfam family: Bacterial small subunit ribosomal RNA
Source: RNAcentral